UACGGGGGGGGCAAGCGUUGUUCGGAAUUACUGGGCGUAAAGGGCUCGUAGGCGUCCAACUAAGUCAGACGUGAAAUCCCUCGGCUUAACCGGGGAACUGCGUCUGAUACUGGAUGGCUUGAGUUUGGGAGAGGGAUGCAGAAUUCCAGGUGUAGCGGUGAAAUGCGUAGAUAUCUGGAGGAAUACCGGUGGCGAAGGCGGCAUCCUGGACCGACAUUGACGCUGAUGAGCGAAAGCUAGGGGAGCAAACGGG
RNAcentral lists this ribosomal RNA (253 nucleotides) under uncultured bacterium. RNAcentral describes it as "partial 16S ribosomal RNA". It matches the Rfam family "Bacterial small subunit ribosomal RNA", at positions 524 to 776 of the family's 1533-position model. The record is from RNAcentral.